RNA transcript from Dermacentor albipictus, 1150 nucleotides. RefSeq lists it as uncharacterized. The record is from RefSeq and is a predicted model, not a curated record. Lineage: Eukaryota; Metazoa; Arthropoda; Arachnida; Ixodida; Ixodidae.
UGGCACAGAAGACCAGGGACCAGCGAGACAGCCGGACGUGUCCCCCUGCAGCUGCCGCCGCACAGGUCCGUGGAACGCCGCCGCCGGUCGCGGACUGACCCCCCCCCCCUCCCCCUCCCCCUUUGAGGCCCCGCCGAGAGCCACCGCAACCAUGAGUGCCUCGACGACCGAGGUGAACGUGACCACCACGACCAUCACGCGAGCCACGUCCAAGGCCGAGCUGGUGGACGAGAACCCGGACCUGGCCGCGGAAUGCGUGCAGCACAUCUGCGCCGACGGCAGCAAGCCCGUCGACCCGCAACCGCUGCCGCAGCCGCUGCUCGCAAAUUACGAGCCCAUGCUCAGCAAGUUGACGCCGGAGACGUGCCGCCAGCAGCAGCUGCUGCCGGGCCCGCCGACCGAGCGCGUGUUCGACCGCGACGAGUCCGGCUCGGUGUCGGUGGACGUGCGCAAGACGCUGGACGAGGAGAACGUCGACAACGACAAGCUCUACCAGCACAAGCUCGAGGGCAGCGAGGUGCGCAAGGUGCAGGAGAACCAGGCGCUCAAGGAGGCCUUCCAGGAGGCCAACACCUUCGACAACGUGCUCAUGCAGAAGACCCUGGCCAAGGGACAGGUCACCAAGAAGCGCACGCUGGUCGAGACCGCGUCCGCCAAGCGCGUCACCACGCGGCGCGAGAACGAGGCGGCCAAGCUGGACAACGUCGGCUGCACGCUCAAGCGCAACAUCGAGGAAGUGGGCAACGCCGAGGAGAACGUCGAGAAGUCCGAGAAGCAGCAGGAGAACAUCGAGAAGGUCACCUGCACCACCCCAAAGGCGCCCUCUGGCCAGUGAGGCGGUGAACAGAACACCACCUCCGUCGUCGUCUCCACCGGCCCAGUAAAGCGGCUGAUUCACCUUCACUACUGGACCCAAAUCGGCACGAGGCCUCGGUACGGCAAAGACACCCCCCGAGAGAGAUCCAUCGUCGAGCUGUGGCGUCGCCCACCAUCGUGGGGCAGGGCGCAGCCCGCAUCGUGGCGCGAGAGACGCGAUUUGGGGCCGCCUUGCCAGCCGGUGGUGUCGACGUCCGUCCCAAAUUGGUCGCUGCAGGGGGCUAGUGGUCAGCGUCGGAAUCUGAAUAAAAAGGCGUCCCUGGUCUCGAAAAAA